AGCCCCUUCGCUCCUAAGAACCUAGGGAUGGGGUGUCCCUGGGACCUAAGGAAAGUCAAAAGCGCGUGUAGUCUGGAAGCAGGAAAUUGGCAUCUGUGUUUCUGCAUUAUCACUGACUGCCUGUGUGACUUCCAACAAACUGCUUAACUUCUCUGAGCCUCAGUGUCCUAAUGGGUUCCAAGGAAAUGAUACCUCUCCUCUAUGAAUCUUCCACUAACCUCCCCACCUCUCCACACCACGGAAAACGGGGUUCAGAGGACUAAACGUAAUGCACGUGAAAGCUCUGUGGGCUAAAAGCACAAGACAAAUAUAUAUGUCGUUCUAAAGAUGUUUUUUUUUAACUGAGGAAGCACCGAAAAAUCACUUUCUUCCUGGAUAACUUUUCUGUCCAAAGCAGUAAUGGUAACCUUGCAGGCACCACCACAGCAGUAGUGAAAACAAAUAAUGGAGAGCAAGUCUCAAGGAAUACUGCCAUAGUACCAGCUUCCAGGCAUGAUUUUUACCAGGCCAUGAGUUAGCAUUUGUCUGGUAAAAAUGAAAGACCUUCUCAAAAAAGAUAGCAUGCUAUCAGGCCCCGGUGAGAAUGUGCCAUCUGGCCGUUCACAUACCCAGAAGUAACUGGGCCCAUGCUUGUUCUUUCUUCAACCAGGCUACCAAUGUGGAAGAUGCCCAGGUGACUUGUGUCUUCAGCAACUAAGAACUUCAGGACCAAGAGGGCCCUCUGAGUGGUAGCUGGUUCCUCAGAGCGGGAGCUCAGGUCACAAUCAGGCCAAGAGUGGACAGCCCUCCCAAUGCGUCUCGCCAAAGCCAAAUCACGCCUGGUCCAGGGUUUGACGGUCCUCUCCAGCUGUGGGAAAGCUCACGCCUAGAGCAGCAUCCUCCCAAAGCAGCCAGAGUGCCAGGUCAACAGGCCGAUGGUCGUCCGGGAUGCCUAAUUGGCUCAGAAACGAUCUCGAAUUUCAGAUCAGAGACCUCUAGGGUCCAAGUUGGAAGGGAUGAUACAACUCCACUUGUAAACGCUUUGGUUUACGGACCACUUCUUCAUCCUUUGAGGGUGGUGCAGAAUAGCAGCUAAGGGCAUUCCCUGUUGAGCCCCGAGUGUGUGUUCCUCCUCUGCUCUCCGCUAGCUGCAUGGCUGGGGGCACCCAGUGGGUGCUGGGCAAAUGCUAGCGGUACAUUCGACGUGUUACAUGACGUGCUGCAAUCUCCCAUUGCAGAUGUGGAAUCUAAGGUUUGGACAAGUGCACCCCCACACAGCAUCCCCACACCCCUUUGCCCUACUCUUUCUAUUAAGUCGCUCCUCCUUGUGUCUCUGCUACCUAAAUGACAUCGGUCCCUCGAGUCUGCUCAAAUGCUAGCUGUUCUAUAAAUUCUGCCUCCAGAACGGAGUUCAUCUCAGCUUCCUCCGAGCUGCCUAGCACUUUGUUCAUAACUCUAUCGCGCUGUGGAGCUCACUGGGCCACACUAGGCAAGAAAAAGGACCGAGGCGAGGACGUGACACACUGCAGACUGCGGUAAAGACCAGAGAGAGACGGACACAACGAAGGCACGUUUCGCCCCUGCAGCAACGCGUUCCCUCCUUCUCCUGCCCCACAGUCGGACGCACCGCGGGGCCUCUCAAAGCCCUCACCACGUUCUGGUUCCAAUCAAAGCUAACUCCACACACACUCUCUCUUCCCAGGCGGACUACCUUAGGGGGAGGAAACAGCUCAGUGUCACCUCCGCACCCGCCAUGGCACAUGGCCGAGGGUUGCAAGUGCUGAAGCAUGCCUGUUCCACUGAUCUGAGAAGAGCUGGCUGAUAGUGGUGAUGGUGCUGAAUGGCGGCAGAGAUGACAGUGAUAACAGGGAGGUUACCUGAACCGAAACCCAGCCGUCAUGAAGGGUGAUGUGCGCAUGAUGUUUCGCUAUGACCGAGUGAACAACAAGGGAUCCACGAAUCAGACCUAGAAACGUAGCCUACUCACUGGCCAACUGGAAAGCAAUGGAAAAUGGAAAAGGCAUAUGGGCGGCGCCUAUCUUAUCAGCUUGAGCCCAUCCAUAGAUUAAUGUGGCUUAGCGGUGGCAUGUGGAAAUCGUUGAAAAACCCUGUUGUUACUGUUCAUUGAGGAAGAUGUAGAAAAGAUCCAAAGGUACAGGGAAGAGAAACAGUCACAGUACUAUGAAAUUUCAUGACAGUUCUCUCGCACCUGUCUGAUUUGACACAGCUGAGAUCAGGCUGAUCCUGUGUGUCUCACAAUAUGUUUUAUUUAUUCUUUUUGAAUAAAUAACACACGCAGAAAGUACAAAGCUCAAAAGUCACAAAGAGCCGGGAGUGAAAAGGGUCUCUCCUACUCCUGCCUUCUGCCCACCGUUUUCUCCCAGGUCCCUCAUAGAUCCUUCCCGAGGAGUCCUCUGCCUCCCUCUGAACAGUUGUUUUGGGUGGGUUAAUAGUCAGUCCUCAAUCCUUCGAGGUCCUCAGAAACCAAAAAUUGUCUGUAAGUACGAAGUAUGUCCCUAAUGUAGCGUGUCUGUGCUGAUAAAUGAUAAAAUGUUACCGCCUCUAUGUCAGUUACAUAACGGGAAGCAGAUAGUGCCACUCUUCCCAAAGACUAUUCUUAGCUGACAAAUGUGGUUGGAGGUGCUCAACCGAGAUACAAUCCUUCAACAGGCCCCUGUCCCAAAGAUUUCCUGAGAUGUUGCCAGGAGCCCAUGGUGGCCUAAAAAACGGAGAACUUGAAAUCAGAGUCUGUGUGUGUUGGGUUGUCUCAGCUAAGACAUGAACGCCAGGCCCGCGUCCCGAAAGAACCCAUCUGAGAAAGUUACAGAAGGCAUCUCCGAUUCACAACACGCCCCCCGCCAACCCCCCACUGAAUAACACGUCGUCUGGCAACAGGAGGCGUUUGAUUACAUUUGGAUGGAACGCCUGCAUCAACUCCAGUUGUCCCCGAAUUGGAACUGCUGGGCCUCACGUGCUGCAGCCAACAGUUUGCCUUCACCCACUCCCCUCUCCGAAAUGAACCUUUCUCUGGGAAAACAAGAAACCUACGUGCCAUCCUGGGUGAGAGACGAACAAUGGCUGCAUCCCAGCAUUGCAUCCCAAGCGUGACAGGCAAGAGCACACUAAGGGGUUUCCAACAAAGAGCCAUACUUCAAGCAUCUCUGGAGAUGCCCUCUGAACCAGAGGACCCAAAUGUUCUCCCCGGAGCCCCGCGGUCUCUGUGUUUAAUUCAGUGCGUGGGCCUUAAGUUCUCACUGCGUGAGGUCUAAGGCACCCAGCUACUGUCCCCUUUAGCGAGCCUCCAUAACCUCCCUCCCCAUGCUCUGACUUUGCUUAAUCGCUGCAGCAGGCAGAGUAAUGGCUCCCCAAAGACACCAUCACCCUAAUACCCAGACCCUGUGACUAUGCUAUAUUACAUGGCAAGGGGCGGGGGGUGGGGUGGGGAGGGGUGGCUAAAGUCGCAGAUGGAAUACAUCUUGCUGAUCAGCAGACCUUAAAAAAUAGACUCUCCACAGUAGUCUCAAAAAUAGAGAGACUAUCCACAAUAUUGUGGCCACCAUAUUAUCGCAAAGGUCUCCAAAUGGGGAGGAGGGAGGCAGAAGUGUCAGACCCAGAAGAGUGACAUCAGGAGAAAGACUCGGUUUUCCAGCUGCCACCUAUGAAGAUGCAGUAAGGGGCCAUGAACCAAGGAAUACAGGCAGAAAAAUCUGGAAACGACAAGAAACUGGAUUCUUCCCUAGAACUUCCUUGGUGUUAACCCAGGGAGGUCUAUUCGGACUUCCGACCUCUAGAACUGUAAUAUUUGUGUUGUUACGUAGCAAUAGGAAACCAAGACAGUCACUGUGGACUUGCCAUGUGCCAGGCCUGGUACCAGAUGCCAAGGGAACAUUCCCACAGCAUGUGGUUUGUACCGUGUAUCUGUCAUCAGAGUCCUGCAGGGAAACUGAAGCCACUGUAAGAGUCUAAACACAGAGAAUCCAAUGCAGAUCACUGGCUAUGUAGGUGAUAGCAGAAGUGAAAAAGUCAGUCCGGCUGUUAGCAAUAGCAGAGGUUGCUACUAGGCUGGGCUAGAGGGAUAUAAAGAAGAGGCCAUAUUACCAGAGUGCAGAGGUCAAGUUUGCCAGGUGGAAGCUAGAUCACGGUGCACCUAUCCAGCAGGAGCUGGACGGGACAGAGCCCUGCUUUAGAUGCUCCUGAGGCAGAAAGGGAGAGAGAGAGAUACCUUGCUUUCUCCCUUUCUCCUGCCCUCUGAUUUCCUGUCCAGGCCUCCUGUUGGCUGCUUCCAGACAGAAGCUAGCUGGUGAAGGGCCUUGGGAUAUGCAGAGGUCAGCCCUCCUGUAGUACAGAGGGGAGCUGGGGAAGAGCAGUCGGUGAAUUAAUGGAUUUGAAGAUGAAUAAGCCCAAGACACCUCCUUUCUGCAUUGAUCAUCACGAAUCUCGAAGCAUAAUUAUCGUUUAAAAUGCAAAUUCUUUACCUGGCUCCUGAGACCCUCCAUAAGCUGGCCCUUCCCUAACUUCUCUGCUCUCACUCUCUACAGUUCCCCCCUUCACUCACAGCAUCCCCACUGCACUGGCCUUUGCUCUGUUCUCCACAUGCCAGAAAGUCUCACCUUGGGACCUUGCGCUUGUGGGUUGUAGCCGCUGUUAGAGAACAAGAAAUAAAUGUGUUUGGGGCUGAGUCAUUACAUUAACCUGCCUGAACUGAAACAAUUUCCAGUGAUAAGAAUUCUCAAUGCCUGGUCCAUAA
Leopardus geoffroyi (Geoffroy's cat) is the source of this 4726-nucleotide long non-coding RNA. RefSeq lists it as uncharacterized. The transcript is spliced from 2 exons. The record is from RefSeq and is a predicted model, not a curated record. NCBI's taxonomy places the organism in Eukaryota, Metazoa, Chordata, Mammalia, Carnivora, Felidae.